UUAUGGAAAACUAUUAAUUUGUAUUUUGUGUCUAGUCACCAAACUCUUGUAGACUUAACUGUAUACUCUGCAAGUAACGAUAAUUUUGUUUUCUCUUUUCUAAUAAUUAUCUCUUAUUUUUGUUCUAUAUUUUAUUGCAUUGGUUUGAAUUUCCAAGGCAGUGCUGUUGGUUUGCAGAGACAGGGUUUCACUCUGUUGCCCAGGCUGAAUGCAGUAGUAUAACCACACCUCACUGCAGUCUCACACUCAUGGGCUCAAGCAAUCCCAGCCUCAGCCUCCAGAGUGGCUACUACUACAAGUGUGUGUUACCAUCCCUGGCUAAUUUUUCAGUGUUUUGUGGAGAGUGGGGUAUAGCUAUGUGUCUGGAAUUGGUGGGUUCUUGGUCUCACUGACUUCAAGAAUCAAGCCGCUGACCCUCGCGGUGAGCAUUACAGUUCUUAAAGGCGGUGUGUCCGGAGUUUGUUCCUUCUGAUGUUCGGAUGUGUUCGCGGUUUCUUCCUUCUGGUGGGUUCGUAGUUUUGCUGGCUCAGGAGCGAAGCUGCAGACUUUCGCGGUGAGUGUUACAGCUCUUAAGGCGGUGUGUCUGGAGUUGUUCGUUCCUCCCGGUUGGUUCGUGGUCUCGCUGGCUUCAGGAGAAAAACUGCAGACUUUCACGGGAGAGGGAGAUCUGGAAAUGAAUACAGUUCAGGCAAGACGGGCAGGUGAAGAAGGCAGAAGCAGAAAGUGAAGUGAUGAAACUGCAAGUCAAGGAAUUCCAAGGAUUGCUGGCGAACACAGGAAUUUAGGAAGAGGCAAGAAAGAAUUCCUUCCCAGAGACUUCUGAGGGAAUACAGCCUUGCCGAUAGCUUAUUUCAGCCUUCUAGAUUUCAGAGCUGGGAGAGAAUGAAUGUCUGUUGUUUCAAUCUUCCAGUUUAUGGUAGUUUGUUCCUAGGAAACUAAUACGUAUAUUGUUUAUCUUUGAAAAUAGGUAUUUGAGAACAUUUCUACUUCUCUUUGACUAGGAUAUUUUGUAAAAUUAAUAAGGAAUAAGCACUCUUUAAUCAAAUAAGUUUUUUGCAUCUUGCUUGCUAAAAUGUAUGCAUUUUUUAAAAAGUAUGUAUUUUAGUUUUAAAAUUGUCUGUAUAUGUAUAUGCACAUGAAUUUAAUAUUUUAUAUAAAUCCAUAAAUGCAAUCAUGUUAUAUAUCUUGAAUUUUAUGUUUUUCAUAUUGUGGUCUUUUUCUUCUCGUUUUGCUUUGCACGCUCCUCUUCUCCUGCCCCU
This 1259-nucleotide long non-coding RNA is filed under the name Homo sapiens (human). RNAcentral's name for it is "HSALNT0183385". The record is from RNAcentral. Lineage: Eukaryota; Metazoa; Chordata; Mammalia; Primates; Hominidae.